RNAcentral lists this ribosomal RNA (426 nucleotides) under uncultured bacterium. RNAcentral's name for it is "bacterial SSU rRNA". It matches the Rfam family "Bacterial small subunit ribosomal RNA", at positions 354 to 796 of the family's 1533-position model. The record is from RNAcentral.
GUGAGGAAUUUUCCGCAAUGGGCGAAAGCCUGACGGAGCAAUGCCGCGUGAAGGAUGAAGGCCUAUGGGUUGUAAACUUCUUUUCUCAGAAAAGAAUUAUGACGGUAUCUGAGGAAUAAGCAUCGGCUAACUCUGUGCCAGCAGCCGCGGUAAGACAGAGGAUGCAAGCGUUAUCCGGAAUGAUUGGGCGUAAAGCGUCUGUAGGUUGUUUAAAAAGUAUUCUGUCAAAGAUUAGGGCUUAACCCUAGAUAGGCAGAAUAAACUUUUAAGCUAGAGUUUGGUAGAGGCAGAGGGAAUUCCCGGUGGAGCGGUGAAAUGCGUAGAUAUCGGGAGGAACACCAAAGGCGAAGGCACUCUGCUAGGCCAAUACUAACACUGAGAGACGAAAGCGAGGGGAGCAAAUGGGAUUAGAAACCCUGGUAGUCC